GCUUGUCUCAAAGAUUAAGCCAUGCAUGUCUAAGUAUAAACGAUUUUAUACGUGAAACUGCGAAUGGCUCAUUAUAUCAGUUAUAGUUUAUUUGAUGGUCCUUACUACUUGGAUAACCGUAGUAAUUCUAGAGCUAAUACAUGCAUGAACCCCCGACUUUUGAAGGGGUGUAUUUAUUAGAUUGAAACCAAUGCGGGUUCCCCGGUAUUUGGUGAUUCAUAAUAACUUUCGGAUCGACUUCGGUCGAUGCAUCAUUCAAGUUUCUGCCCUAUCAGCUUUGGAUGGUAGGGUAUUGGCCUACCAUGGCUUUAACGGGUAACGGAGAAUUAGGGUUCGAUUCCGGAGAGGGAGCCUGAGAAACGGCUACCACAUCCAAGGAAGGCAGCAGG
This 389-nucleotide ribosomal RNA is filed under the name uncultured Chrysophyceae. RNAcentral describes it as "partial small subunit ribosomal RNA". It matches the Rfam family "Eukaryotic small subunit ribosomal RNA", at positions 30 to 432 of the family's 1831-position model. The record is from RNAcentral. Lineage: Eukaryota; Chrysophyceae.